CAGUAGCCGCGGUAAUACGGAGGGGGCUAGCGUUGUUCGGAAUUACUGGGCGUAAAGCGCACGUAGGCGGCUUUGUAAGUUAGAGGUGAAAGCCCGGAGCUCAACUCCGGAAUUGCCUUUAAGACUGCAGAGCUAGCAGGUGAGAGAGGUGAGUGGAAUUCCGAGUGUAGAGGUGAAAUUCGUAGAUAUUCGGAAGAACACCAGUGGCGAAGGCGGCUCACUGGCUCAUACUGGACGCUGAGGUGCGAAAGCGUGGGGAGCAAACAGGAUUAGAUACCCGCGUAGUCCCUGUCUCUUAUAC
RNAcentral lists this ribosomal RNA (301 nucleotides) under uncultured bacterium. RNAcentral's name for it is "partial 16S ribosomal RNA". It matches the Rfam family "Bacterial small subunit ribosomal RNA", at positions 509 to 807 of the family's 1533-position model. The record is from RNAcentral.